UGAAGCAAAGCUGCAGAUAGCGAAUGAAGCAGCCAACGCCAUAGCCGCGAAAGCGCCCGUUGGUCCAGCAACCGAUCCGUUCACCGGCAAGCCAAGGCAGGCCGGGAAAUACCGGGCCAGCAUCAAGGGCGGAUUGCAGCGCGACAACGCGGGCAAGAUCGGUAUCGGCCAGACCCGUUCCAAAGAUCCGGAUGCAACCGGCGUCUAUGCCGAAUACGUCUGGCGCUUUCUCGAAUUUGGCACCAAGCC
Molecule: unclassified non-coding RNA, 249 nt
Filed under: uncultured fungus
Lineage: Eukaryota; Fungi
Description: sequence contains ITS1
Source: RNAcentral